ACGCGCUGGAGUUUUGUCCCUCUGAGGGAUUUAAACCAAAUAUUCUUGGGGACAAUAAACCCAGCAGCUGAUUCUGAAGAUUUGCACAAAACUGAUAUCCUGCCUGAAACAGGAAACCUGAGCAAGAUUCAUUUCCUUGUCCCUACUCUGAGGGGAGCGACCAAACCAUCACCCUGAUUUUAAGCAGCAUCUGUUCUCCUGGCACUCGGCUUGGCCAGAUCCAGAGGGGAACAUGGGGAAUGCUGGAGGCAGCAGUGAACUGGACAAGCACCUGAAGAACCUGACCCCCUCAUUUCUGAUGGCAAGUGAGAGGAAACACCAUGAGGAUGAGGGACCUGGCCACAAACCCGACAUUAAUGUGGCUUUUCUCUGGCCUUGGAUGAGCAGUGCUGCCCUGCACUUUGGCUGCUCAGUGAUAAGAGUGAACUCUGGGAGUAAAGCCCCUCAGGAAGGGCUUUCACUCGCUCUUCCCAUCUUAACAACCAGCUUUUUGCAUCAAAACCUGGCAGGGAGUGAAGAGGCCAGUGAGGAGCUGAGGCCAGUCACCACUGGCAAGGAUUCCACAGGAAUGCGCAAUUUGCCUGGUAAAGGAAGAACUUCCCUGGAUUAGUCACAGCAACUGCCCUGGGUUAUUCACAGGAACUUCCCCAGGUACCCACACCACCUGUGCUCUGCUGGCUGCUUUGAUUCCAGCUCUGCUUGCCCUGCACUGUUAAAUUGUCACAGAGCCUUGUAAACAGGAGCUCCCGGUUCCCUCGGAGUGGCGCGAGCAAACUAACAUCAUAACAGGAGUGUUUAUGGAAAAAUGCUCAAGCACUGAAGCAGAAAGGGCUUAGCACUGAUCAGACCUCUCUCCCACCUUUAUUCUUCGCCAUCCACAUUGAAAUGCAAAUACCAGCGCCGGGUUUCCACCAGCGUGCCACUCACAAAUUGAAAAGCAGUUUUUAUCUAUGCAAAUGUAAGCAUGGUAAUUGAAGUUAAUCAAUCAAUGCUAGCUUUCACUAAAACCUUGAACAUGAUUGAAUAAAGUAAUUAUCAUUCAGCAGAAAAUGA
Pseudopipra pipra is the source of this 1053-nucleotide long non-coding RNA. RefSeq lists it as uncharacterized. The record is from RefSeq and is a predicted model, not a curated record. The transcript has 2 exons. NCBI's taxonomy places the organism in Eukaryota, Metazoa, Chordata, Aves, Passeriformes, Pipridae.